Long non-coding RNA from Bos taurus (domestic cattle), 1298 nucleotides. The record is from Ensembl. NCBI's taxonomy places the organism in Eukaryota, Metazoa, Chordata, Mammalia, Artiodactyla, Bovidae.
GUUCUCAAUAAGAGACUGCCAUGGGGGUCGGGUGGAGCUCAAAGAAGCAUGAGAGAGACACACAGAGAGAUUACCAUAAAAGAGUAGACAGAUAUCAACUUUCUGAUAGACCGGUAUCCUUAGCCAUGGUUUCUCAUGGUUUUUCUGAGCACUACGUUGUUGCCAUCUUCUCAGUCUCCAAAGAACUCCCGUGACAUUGAGGGAAAGAUGACAAUUGUUUCUUCUGUUUUACUUUCAAAAAUGGUUUUUGCUGUCACCACAGAAGAAAACCGGCAGAGUGGUUAAAGUACCGUUAUAACACCACUGGAAUAGCCCUUGCUGGUCAUCAGAAAACUAAGCUAGAAGCUUCAACCUGCCCAUCCACCCACCCCUACCCACACAGGCAGAAGAGGCUCCUGCAGGAAAUGGGCUCUGUUUGUGAUUGCAGUGUGCCCUAAGACUCAAAAGAGGGCAGCAGAUAGCUGACACUGCCUGUCGGACCAGGAAAGCCUGUAACCUGAGGAAUGUCAAUAGGAAAAUCUGCAGGUUUAUCAAAACUCACAUCCUGCAAGGGUUAGCUGAGCCAGAACUGUGUGCUUCUAGAACUGCGUGUUUAAUAUCUGUCAAAGCAGAUAUUUGAUUCAUGGGAUCUAAUGAGCUUUGGUGAUAUGGAGGGCAAAUGGCCUCUUGCCCACCAUGGCAGCCUCAUGCCACGUGAUUUAGGGAUUGAAAACCUGUGAUGCCGAUGUCAGCAAAGUCACGGCUGAGACACAGGAGCAAUGGCCAGGCAGGGUGGUGUGGAGAGACUGCCUGAGUGCUUUGGCAGCCUUGUAAGAGAGUUGGCUGAUAUUCUGAAAUAAGCAGGACCCUCCCCACAAAGAGGGUGCAGUCUCUCCCGACCUGGUAAAUUGCACAGAGACUGAGAAUCACAGGAUGUGGGAGCAAAGGAUUCUGUUACUCUCUUUGAGAUUUUCCAGUGCUUGCAGAAGAAAGCUUGUGAUGGGAAGGACAUGCCCCAGCUCCUGGGAGAUUGGGGUUUCAGGGAGGCUGGGGGCAGGUAGGGUGAAGGAGGAAAAACACUGCUGGAGGGGAAGAGGCAUGAAGCACUCGGGCAGAAAGCAAAGCAGAGUCCUCAACCCAGUCUUGCAGAGUUUAGGAUUUCAUCCCAGGGUUCAUCUCUGUGAUCCUGUUUCCUAAAAAGACUAAUAAUCAGGUGUUGAUUCCUAAAACAGCCUCCCAGAAAAGUUCUUCUGUGUCAUUUGGCAGGGAAAAACCGUGAACAGAAAGGAAUUGUAUUUUUAAAGUCAACCCUGAAAUGA